GCCCUUCAGGCCUAACACAUGCAAGUCGAGCGGAGAACAUGAAGUGUUUACACGGAUUGUUCUUAGCGGCGGACGGGUGAGUAACACGUGGGUAACCUGCCUCAAAGUGGGGGAUAGCCUUUCGAAAGGAAGAUUAAUACCGCAUAAGCCUGCAGCACCGCAUGGUGCAGCAGGAAAAGGAGCAAUCCGCUUUGAGAUGGACCCGCGGCGCAUUAGCUAGUUGGUGAGGUAACGGCUCACCAAGGCCACGAUGCGUAGCCGACCUGAGAGGGUGAUYGGCCACAUUGGAAMUGAGACACGGUCCAGACUCCUACGGGAGGCAGCAGUGGGGAAUAUUGCACAAUGGGCGAAAGCCUGAUGCAGCAACGCCGCGUGAGUGAUGAAGGCCUUCGGGUCGUAAAGCUCUUUGAUCAGGGAUGAUAAUGACAGUACCUGAAAAACAAGCCACGSCUAACUACGUGCCAGCAGCCGCGGUAAUAAGGGC
RNAcentral lists this ribosomal RNA (484 nucleotides) under uncultured bacterium. Its description in RNAcentral is "bacterial SSU rRNA". It matches the Rfam family "Bacterial small subunit ribosomal RNA", at positions 39 to 532 of the family's 1533-position model. The record is from RNAcentral.